This 497-nucleotide ribosomal RNA is filed under the name uncultured bacterium. Its description in RNAcentral is "partial 16S ribosomal RNA". It matches the Rfam family "Bacterial small subunit ribosomal RNA", at positions 28 to 507 of the family's 1533-position model. The record is from RNAcentral.
GAUGAACGCUGGCGGCGUGCCUAAUACAUGCAAGUCGAGCGAACAGACGAGGAGCUUGCUCCUCUGACGUUAGCGGCGGACGGGUGAGUAACACGUGGAUAACCUACCUAUAAGACUGGGAUAACUUCGGGAAACCGGAGCUAAUACCGGAUAAUAUAUUGAACCGCAUGGUUCAAUAGUGAAAGACGGUUUUGCUGUCACUUAUAGAUGGAUCCUCGCCGCAUUAGCUAGUUGGUAAGGUAACGGCUUACCAAGGCGACGAUGCGUAGCCGACCUGAGAGGGUGAUCGGCAACACUGGAACUGAGACACGGUCCAGAAACCUACGGGAGGCAGCAGUAGGGAAUAGUACGAAAAGGGCGAAAGCAUGAGGAAGAAAGGCCGCGGGAGAGAUGAAGGUCUGCGGAUCGUAAAACACUGUUAUUAGGGAAGAACAAAUGUGUAAGUAACUAUGCACGUGUUGACGGUACCUAAUCAGAAAGCAACGGCUAACUACGUG